GAGUUGGGGGAGAGGACCAGAACCACCUGCUGGAGAAGGGGAGCUACGGGGGCCGGGCAGGGUCCAAACGCCUCACGUAGGCGGCGGCGCCACGGUCUUCGGGGUCACAGGGAAGAGAAGGGCUCUCCUCAAGCGGGUGGAAGGAGGGAGGCCUCCCGAGGGAGUGAGACUCUAGGCCACUCCCCCGCAGCAAGGCAGGAUCACCUGCGACGCGGAGAGCGGUUAGAGGGCCCUGGAGUGGAAAAGGGCAGUGGGACCUGGUAGCUUGGGUUCCCUGCAACUUGGGGUUCGACCUCCAGGCAAUGAAGUAGGGAUGGUCCUGCAAGUCAAGAUUCCAGUAGCAAGAGUGCAUCAGAUCUCUGUAAGGAAAAUAACUAACAUUGCUCAGUUCCCUGUAGAGUUGCAGGGCGCUUUAACGUUAUCUCCCUUGGUUCUCCAUCAGGUCGUAGUGGACUAAUUUUACAGGCGAAGUUAAGUGACUUACCCAAAACCUCACAGCUAAUAAACGGCAGAGCCGGCACCCAGCUGUACUGGCUUCCAAUUCUGUUAGCUUACCAGCGCAUCACAUUAUCUCCAUAAAUCCCCAUGAUUCAACUAAUAUUAGACGCCCCACAGAGUCUCGCUACUCAAAACGUGGUCAGUGGCCCAGCAGCACUGACAUGAGGAUGUUAGUUAGAAACUCAGAAUCUCAGGCUCCACCCCAGACCUGCUGAACCAGCAUCUUCAACUUAACAAGAACCCGAAGAGAUUUGUGUCACAUCAAAAAGUUUGAGAAGCUCUGAUCUAGGGCUGGAAGGAGUGUUGCUCAACAAUAUCCAAAACCACAGAGGUUGAAAAGCACAAGGAAAGAAGGUAUGUUUGCACUUUGUGAUUAGGUAGUAGGGUCUUUGAGACCACAUUGUUCUUAUUGAAAGCCUGGGAAGAAAGAUCCCCUUUCUGGUCAAGUUUAGUCUAGGGAUCCAUCCCAUCUUCCCCAGUUCCCACGUGUAUGGGACAUGUCGAGAUAAGUAGAUAGAUUGGACAGUGGGAGAAAGUAGUUCUCUUCCAGUUGCUUCUAUUUUCUCAGCAAAGUGAGGAGCAAGAUCAUUUUGGCAGACUGCUAAUUGUCCAUCACAAUUUAGUCUCCCUUUCUCCCUGAAAACACAGACUGCUUUUCUCAGCCUCUCUUUCAGUUGCAUAUGGUCAAGUAUUAAGUUAUAGAACGUGAGCAGAUGUUAUGUCUGCCACUGUCAGGCCAAGGCGUUUACUUUGAGAGUACUUGUGCCUCUUUCAUGCAUUUUCCUUUCUGCCAGCUGGACCCUGGACACGGUGACUCUGAUUCAAUUAUGCAGAUGACCACAAACCUCUGGGGUUGGCAGAGCCACAAGAAAGAAGGUGCCUGGAUGAAGGAGAGCUACCCACUGACCUGGACACCCAAUUAUAGGAUAGACAGUGAAGUGCAACUACAGCCCGCAAAUGAAAAUGAAUAAUAUUAAUCCAGCCCCUCAAGGCAGUCAUCUGUCUUAGAGCUAUUGGAAUCCUGGAUCAUUGUGGGAAAUGAAAGGAACUGGUUUUUAGCAAGGAGACCAAGAAACUCUACUCCCUAGGGGCUAGCAAUGAGAGAAAGGAAGCCUUAAGUCUUUGAGCACAGGGUGACAGUUUGGGUCCUAUGUGAGAUGAUCAAAUCCACAGCAACAGAGGAAAGGACAAAAGGAAAAGAUACUUCGAUGGAAUCAGCAGCCAUUGAUCCAAUGCCAACUCCAAGACUGGAACGUCGCAAUGAUAGUUCCAAGGCGGAAAUUUGACGUAAUUCUUUUCGACACAGUUUUACAGGCAUCUUGCAUGUGAAUAACUCACAACUUUAAUUCAUGGAACAAAUUGAGAAAUAGUCUUUUGGGGGUUUGGUACUCCCUGGAAACAUAAGAGUGCUUUGGGCACCUCUGGUGCCUUUCCAUGCCUGCCUUCUCUGCUGUUCUUGCUACUAGUGAAUUCUAAAUCAUGGCCAAGUGAUGCCAGCACUGGAUAAUAUUGGCUCUGCCCCAUAUCUCGAGGGAAAACUCUAGGACUUGGCAUUAUAUGUGUGGGAAUCUGGCCUUGGUUGGCACUCCCAGCAUGAUAGCGGGGUUCUCCUGUCUGAAUGUACUCUGGGGUGUGCGCCACAAUUUCUGUCAUCGAAAUGGAGAUGAGAGAAUAUGCCCUUGGUGGGGACACCCCACUGGAAUUAGAGUGAAGAGAUCAAAGCUAGAGGUUCUUAAAUCAAAGAAUAUCUAAUAGCAAAGACAAAAACUUGCUUAAGGGAAAUGCAUACAAGUACUAGACCUAAUAUGAUGAAAAAUGCCAACUUCAAUAUAUUGAUGCAUGCUUAGUACACUUUCAGUCCUGCAAAGACAAAGUUUUUUGUUGUUUUUUUUUUGAGACGGAGUCUCGCUCUGUCGCCCAGGUUG
Molecule: long non-coding RNA, 2423 nt
Filed under: Homo sapiens (human)
Lineage: Eukaryota; Metazoa; Chordata; Mammalia; Primates; Hominidae
Description: HSALNT0353145
Source: RNAcentral